This 478-nucleotide ribosomal RNA is filed under the name uncultured bacterium. Its description in RNAcentral is "partial 16S ribosomal RNA". It matches the Rfam family "Bacterial small subunit ribosomal RNA", at positions 28 to 523 of the family's 1533-position model. The record is from RNAcentral.
GACGAACGCUGGCGGCAUGCUUAACACAUGCAAGUCGAACGGUAAGGCCCUUCGGGGUACACGAGUGGCGAACUGGUGAGUAACACGUGGGUGAUCUGCCCUGCACUUCGGGAUAAGCCUGGGAAACUGGGUCUAAUACCGGAUAGGACCACUGCCUGCAUGGGUGGUGGUGGAAAGCUUUUGCGGUGUGGGAUGGGCCCGCGGCCUAUCAGCUUGUUGGUGGGGUGAUGGCCUACCAAGGCGACGACGGGUAGCCGGCCUGAGAGGGUGACCGGCCAACGUGGGACUGAGAUACGGCCCAGACUCCUACGGGAGGCAGCAGUGGGGAAUAUUGCACAAUGGGCGCAAGCCUGAUGCAGCGACGCCGCGUGAGGGAUGACGGCCUUCGGGUUGUAAACCUCUUUCAGCACAGACGAAGCGCAAGUGACGGUAUGUGCAGAAGAAGGGCCGGCCAACUACGUGCCAGCCGCCGCCGUAA